GCCCCUCCGAUGUCCACACAUACCUGGCAAAGGUACAUACGGGGGUAUUGCUGUACUCAGCCGACAUAGCUGAGCAACAUAUGAAGUAUUAUACAGUCGUAGCACACAUAAGGUUUGCAAAAUAUACUGUGCAAACUCACUUUGUAUGUCAAAAAGGCAGAAAAAACGCUUAUUACCACUACAUCUGGCACAAGCUAGCGGAAAAAUGAUCCCACGCUAAGGUUCAAACUAUACCUUUUGAAACACCCUGGGGUGUCUACUUUAAGAAAU
Pelobates cultripes (western spadefoot toad) is the source of this 270-nucleotide non-coding RNA. The record is from the annotation of a GenBank genome assembly. Lineage: Eukaryota; Metazoa; Chordata; Amphibia; Anura; Pelobatidae.